UGGGGUGUAGCUCAGCAGUAGAGUGCUUGCCUAGCACAUGCAAGGCCCUGGGUUCGACCCUCAGCACCACAU
RNAcentral lists this transfer RNA (72 nucleotides) under Ictidomys tridecemlineatus (thirteen-lined ground squirrel). RNAcentral describes it as "Spermophilus tridecemlineatus (thirteen-lined ground squirrel) tRNA". It matches the Rfam family "tRNA". From Rfam's summary of the family: Transfer RNA (tRNA) molecules are approximately 80 nucleotides in length. Their secondary structure includes four short double-helical elements and three loops (D, anti-codon, and T loops). Lineage: Eukaryota; Metazoa; Chordata; Mammalia; Rodentia; Sciuridae. The record is from Rfam by way of RNAcentral.